GUACCCCGGGAGGGGAGUGAAAUGGUACCUGAAACCGUUGGCUGACAAACAGUCAGAGCGUCGUCGUCACCUACGGGUGGCGGCCGUGAUGGCGUGCCUUUUGAAGAAUGAGCCGGCGAGUUACCGUGUGUGGCGAGGUUAACCCGCGAGGGGGAGCCGGAGCGAAAGCGAGUCUGAACAGGGCGUUCAGUCGCAUGCGGUAGACCCGAAGCCGAGUGAUCUAUCCAUGGGCAGGCUGAAGCGGGGGUAAGACCCCGUGGAGGGCCGAACCCACCGUGGUUGAAAACACGGGGGAUGACCUGUGGAUAGGGGUGAAAGGCCAAGCAAACUCGGUGAUAGCUGGUUCUCCCCGAAAUGCAUUUAGGUGCAGCGUCGGGUGUUCAGCAUUGGAGGUAGAGCACUGAAUGGGCUAGGGGGCCUACAAGCUUACCGAACUCAAUCAAACUCCGAAUGCCAAUGCUCCAGAGCCCGGCAGUGAGACCAUGGGGGAUGAGCUUCAUGGUCGAGAGGGAAACAGCCCAGACCGCCAGCUAAGGCCCCAAAUUCUAGGCUAAGUGGGAAACGAUGUGGGACUGCACAGACAGCCAGGAGGUUGGCUUAGAAGCAGCCAUCCUUGAAAGAGUGCGUAAUAGCUCACUGGUCGAGUGGUCCUGCGCGGACAAUGUAACGGGGCUCAAGCCUAGAGCCGAAGCUGCGGAUUUCUGUUUCUGACAGGAGUGGUAGGGGAGCGUCGAUCUUGGAGUGAAGCGGCGGUGGAAACCGGCGUGGACCGAGGUCGAGAGCGAAUGCCGGCAUGAGUAGCGAGAGAGGGGUGAGAAACCCCUCCGCCGAAAGCCCAAGGGUUCCUGGGGAAGGCUAAUCCUCCCAGGGUCAGUCGGGAGCUAAGGCGAGGCCGCAAGGCGUAGUCGAUGCACAACGGGUUGAUAUUCCCGUACCACCGUGUCCGCGCCCAUCCCAAGUCGGGAUCGCUAAGGGGCUGCUCCUUCGGGAGCGAACCGACCCAUCCCGAGGCGGGCAGCAAAGGGGGGACGCAGGAGGGUAGGUGAACCCGGGCGUUGGUUGCCCCGGGGUAAGGAGGUAGGGGGAGGUCCAGGCAAAUCCGGCCCUCACAAACCCCGAGAUCCGAUGCCGAGACGUCUCAGUCGAAGUCACUGAUCCCAUGCUGCCGAGAAAAUCCUCUAGCCAGCUGGCACGGUGCCCGUACCCCAAACCGACGCAGGUGGGCAGGUAGAGAAUACCAAGGCGAUCGGGAAAACAGUGGUUAAGGAACUCGGCAAAAUACCUCCGUAACUUCGGGAGAAGGAGGGCCUCUGUAGGGUGAAGGACUUCGCGUCCUGAGCUCGAAGAGGUCGCAGAAACCAGGGGAAAGCGACUGUUUACUAAAAACACAGGAGCGUGCGAAGUCGCAAGACGAUGUAUACGCUCUGACGCCUGCCCGGUGCCGGAAGGUUACGGGGAAGGGUUAGUCCGCAAGGGCGAAGCUCUGAACCUAAGCCCCGGUAAACGGCGGCCGUAACUAUAACGGUCCUAAGGUAAGAGAACCCGCACGUGCGCGGGUAGUUGCCCCUCGCAGGAGCGAUCCUGUCGAGUGCAGCUGGCCAAAUGCUGGGAACCCCGUGUAUCCGGCGCUACCGGUUGCUGUCAGGCCCCGUCAAUAGGGUCGACGCAGUGAGCGGUGAAAAUGCGACCGGUGCGGACAAUCAGCAGGAAAGGCCAGGAAGUGAGCCGUGGUGGAUCGUCGGAUUCGUCGACGGUGAAGGAUGCUUCGGAGCCAGCAUCGUGCGGGGCUGGGCUGGCAGGUCCAGCCCGAAUUCAGUGUGACGCAGGGCGAGCGUUCGCUCCCGUCACUCGAGUUGCUGAAGGACUACUUCGCCUGCGGAACGAUCAUCCGGAACCAGCGGCACGACAACCAUCGAGAAGCGAUGUACCGCUUCUCGGUCCGUCGUGGCGUCGACCUCCGGAACCGGAUCGUCCCGUUCUUCGAGUCACAUCCGCUGCGGACGGCCAAGCGUGACGAGUUUCGACGCUUCGUGCGGAUCCCCCAACUCAUGGACGAGGGACGUCACCUCGAGCCCAACGGGUUGGGAGACAUCGCACGCGUCGUCGAGACGAUGAAUCACCGCAAGGCUUCACGCUUCCUGGAAUCCUCAGAGGCCAUACGCCAGCCAUCUCAUCUCGACGGAUGAGAUGAAGAUAUGGUCCAAGCCGCAUGGCGACAUGCGGAUAACUUGAGCGAAAUUCCUUGUCGGGUAAGUUCCGACCUGCACGAAUGGCGUAACGACUUUCCUACUGUCUCAACCACUGACCCGGCGAAAUUGAACUACGAGUAAAGAUGCUCGUUAGCUGCGACAGGACGGAAAGACCCCGUGGACCUUUACUACAGCUUGAUGUUGGGUUUUGGUACGGAUUGUGUAGGAUAGGUGGGAGGCUUGGAAGCUCCGGCGUCAGCCGGGGUGGAGCCAACCUUGAAAUACCACCCUGUUCGUGCCGGAGCUCUAACCUGGACCCGUGAUCCGGGUCGGGGACAGCGGCAGGUGGGUAGUUUGACUGGGGCGGUCGCCUCCUAAAGAGUAACGGAGGCGCCCAAAGGUUCCCUCAGGCUGGUUGGCAAUCAGCCGUCGAGUGCAAUGACACAAGGGAGCUUGACUGCGAGACUGACACGUCAAGCAGGUGCGAAAGCAGGGCAUAGUGACCCAGCGGUUGCAUGUGGAAGCGCCGGUGAUCAACGGAUAAAAGGUACCCCGGGGAUAACAGGCUCAUCUCCCCCAAGAGUCCAUAUCGACGGGGAGGUUUGGCACCUCGAUGUCGGCUCGUCGCAUCCUGGGGCCGUAGCAGGUCCCAAGGGUUGGGCUGUUCGCCCAUUAAAGCGGUACGCGAGCUGGGUUUAGAACGUCGUGAGACAGUUCGGUCCCUAUCCGUCGCAGCCGUAGGAGAUCUGAGCAAGGCUGUCCCUAGUACGAGAGGACCGGGACGGACGCAGCUCUCGUGUGCCAGUUGUCCUGCCAAGGGCACGGCUGGUUAGCGACCUGCGGAAGGGAUAAGCGCUGAAAGCAUCUAAGUGCGAAGCUCUUUGCAAGAUGAGAUCUCCCACAGGGUCAACCUGGUAAGGCCCGUGGUUAGAUGACCACGUUGAUAGGCCGGAGGUGUACGCACGGCAACGUGUUCAGCCGACCGGUACUAAUCGGCCGAGGGCUUGGGAACAA
Molecule: ribosomal RNA, 3203 nt
Filed under: Actinomycetes bacterium
Lineage: Bacteria; Bacillati; Actinomycetota; Actinomycetes
Description: Actinobacteria bacterium partial 23S ribosomal RNA
Rfam family: Bacterial large subunit ribosomal RNA
Source: RNAcentral